RNAcentral lists this non-coding RNA (30 nucleotides) under Homo sapiens (human). The record is from RNAcentral. Lineage: Eukaryota; Metazoa; Chordata; Mammalia; Primates; Hominidae.
UCUAAGACUACAUUUCGCCAUACUGCAUUA